GGUGAGCACUGCCAUUGCUUUUCCUUCAGCUCCAGGUGGGCAGGUGAGCACUGCCAUUGCUUUUCCUUCAGCUCCAGGUGUGCAGGUGAGCACUGCCAUUGUUUUUCCUUCAUCUCCAGGUGUGCAGGUGAGCACUGCCAUUGCUCUCCCUUCAGCUCCAGGUGGGCAGGUGAGCACUGCCAUUGCUCUCCCUUCAUCUCCAGGUGGGCAGGUGAGCACCGCCAUUGCUCUCCCUUCAGCUCCAGUUGCAUUUUCUUCAGCUGUGCCUUUGUGUCCACAGAGAAAUUCUGUCUUUACUCUUUUGGUCCCUGUCUGGGCUCUCCUGCUGUUAGAACUGUGUCCCUCAACCAUAAACAGAAGGAACGCAUGUACGCACAAGCACACGCAUGCGAGCGUGCACACACACACACACACACACACACACACACACGUAUUCUUUUUUAAAUCUAGCCUUUUGUCUCCUUAACAUUUAAAAAGGGGGUGACCCUGUCCUUCGCCUAUACUUAGCAUUUUGCACCAGACUGCUGGAGAGGAGGCCAGAGGCCUGCGGUCUCAGCCCGUGCUAUCUUUAUUUUUGUUUGGUUGAGCUGCACAGGCGGGUGACUGACACGCGAGCUUGCAGGGGCCUGCGUUCUGUGAACACUGUAGGAGGGAAAACUUGUAAAGCAGACUGAAGAAAAGAACUCACCCAGGGUCCCAGGUUUCUGGAAGAGGGACCAUUGCAGUGACAGGUCUGCCAAAAGGGAUACAGCUGCCUUUGAUUUCCAGAGACUCCAUCAGCCUGGGAAGAGUAGGAAGGCCCAGGAAAGUCAUCUCAUCCAGUGAGACUUGAGACUGUCACAAGCUAUCUACGGCCUGCGGCUUUGGCCCACACCUGAGAGUCAUUUUCCUCUACUGUUUGUUUCUGGGGCAUUCAUUCUCUGCCUCUCGGGACAGCUACAUUCCUGGCUUCCCCAGGCCUCAGUGCGGAGGGCUCUUGAGUGAUCAUCUUCUUGGACUGCCCCUGUGCACACUGGGACAUCUGUCUGCCCUUUACCUGCUCAUCUGUCCAAUUCAGUGACUCAACCCUCAGAGGACAGAGGGGACCUUCCUCUAAGAACUGCCUAUGAGCUGACUCCAGGACCCUGGGAGACACGGGGCUACAACUGACCUUGUGCCAGGAGCUUCCUGCUCCAGCUCCUCACCUUUCCUGCUCCAGGGAGCAGCCGAGACAGCCACUGCAGCUAGGCAGGAACUCGGUAGGCUGGGGACAGAGCCCCUUUGAAGAAGGGACAGGAGAAGGCAAGGUGUCUCACCUGCUCCAGCUGGACACACCCAGACGUUGUGGACAGGGUGAGACCCCAGGCCUACCUUGGAGAAGGUUCAGGCGUCAGGCCAGGCAUGCUAUAGCGCAAGCUGCGACACUGGGAGCCAUGUACGGGCUUCCAGGUGGGACUCUCGCCAAGGCAGGGGGUGGACAAUGGGCAGCUCUGUCCCCAUAGCUCUCGGGCGUGUAAAGGGCACCAUGAAGCCAAGCCUGGUGACUCAGCCCUGUAAUCCCAGUCGCUUGAGAGGCUGAGGCAGGAGGAUGAUCAAUUCAAGCCUAGUCUGGGCAAUUCAAUGGUGAGACCCCUGUCUCAAAAUAAAUAAAUAAAUAAAAAAUGUUGGGGUUGUA
Non-coding RNA from Myodes glareolus (Bank vole), 1654 nucleotides. NCBI's taxonomy places the organism in Eukaryota, Metazoa, Chordata, Mammalia, Rodentia, Cricetidae. The record is from RefSeq and is a predicted model, not a curated record.